RNAcentral lists this unclassified non-coding RNA (331 nucleotides) under soil metagenome. Its description in RNAcentral is "partial contains 5.8S ribosomal RNA, internal transcribed spacer 2, and large subunit ribosomal RNA". The stretch from base 1 to 120 matches the Rfam family "5.8S ribosomal RNA", at positions 35 to 154 of the family's 154-position model. The record is from RNAcentral.
GAUGAAGAACUCAGUGAAAUGCGAUAAGUAAUGUGAAUUGCAGAAUUCAGUGAAUCAUCGAAUCUUUGAACGCACAUUGCGCCCCCUGGUAUUCCGGGGGGCAUGCCUGUUCGAGCGUCAUUUCACCACUCAAGCCUCGCUUGGUAUUGGGCAACGCGGUCCGCCGCGUGCCUCAAAUCGACCGGCUGGGUCUUCUGUCCCCUAAGCGUUGUGGAAACUAUUCGCUAAAGGGUGUUCGGGAGGCUACGCCGUAAAACAACCCCAUUUCUAAGGUUGACCUCGGAUCAGGUAGGGAUACCCGCUGAACUUAAGCAUAUCAAUAAGCGGAGGA